Molecule: ribosomal RNA, 218 nt
Filed under: uncultured bacterium
Lineage: Bacteria
Description: partial 16S ribosomal RNA
Rfam family: Bacterial small subunit ribosomal RNA
Source: RNAcentral
UACGUAGGGUGCAAGCGUUAAUCGGAAUUACUGGGCGUAAAGCGUGCGCAGGCGGUUUUGUAAGUCUGUCGUGAAAUCCCCCGGGCUCAACCUGGGAAUUGCGAUGGAGACUGCAAGGCUAGAAUCUGGCAGAGGGGGGGUAGAAUUCCACGUGUAGCAGUGAAAUGCGUAGAGAUGUGGAGGAACGACCGAUGGCGAAGGCAGCCCCCUGGGUCGAA